GAUGAAGAACGCAGCGAAAUGCGAUAAGUAAUGUGAAUUGUAGAAUCCAGUGAAUCAUCGAAUCUUUGAACGCACAUUGCGCCCGCCAGCAUUCUGGCGGGCAUGCCUGUUCGAGCGUCAUUUCAACCCUCGACCUCCCUUUGGGGAAGUCGGCGUUGGGGACCGGCAGCACACCGCCGGCCCUGAAAUGGAGUGGCGGCCCGUCCGCGGCGACCUCUGCGUAGUAAACCAACUCGCACCGGAACCCCGACGUGGCCACGCCGUAAAACACCCAACUUCUGAACGUUGACCUCGAAUCAGGUAGGACUACCCGCUGAACUUAAGCAUAUCAAUAAGCGGAGGA
Molecule: unclassified non-coding RNA, 343 nt
Filed under: soil metagenome
Description: partial contains 5.8S ribosomal RNA, internal transcribed spacer 2, and large subunit ribosomal RNA
Rfam family: 5.8S ribosomal RNA (bases 1-120)
Source: RNAcentral